CUUGUCGAUCACAAUCAUCGAUUUGUGAGUGGUCGAAAAAGAAAGUGAUUUCAAUCAGCACACAAAUGCCAAUAAAUUCCCAUUAGAAAUCCACACGCGCUCAACAUCGGACAUGCUCCAGGGCACGUAUACGUCGAAUACGAAUACGAAUACGUCUACGAAUACGAGAAUCCGAGUCCGAAUAUACCCUUGGAAUGCCAGGCGUCAAUCCAUGCAGCAGCAGCAGAAGCGGCAGCAGCAAGUCAGGGCAUUGACAAUGGACUCAAGAUGGGGCAAUGAAUAAAACGAAGCGGGAGGGGGGAGUUGGCUGACAAUCCUCGAACCAAGUGCUACGCAUCACGAGCCGGUUACUCGACGUACUUCAAUUUUUUGGUCAAGUCGAGUGUGUCCCAAAGAGUUGUUGGCCAACGAGAUUUGCAUUUUGAUGAAUUGCAGGCGAGAAGCCGAAAGAUGUUUUGGCCCAACAUGGAGCUACUACUACUCUGUACUCUACCUCUUGUCGGACAUGAUGUGACUAUGAGCGGAGAGACCCGAGAGUUUGCCCAGACUGUUUCCAUGCCGAGCCAUGCCAUGCCAUGAAUCUCCAUCGUGUCCAGUUCGUCGUCGUCGACGAGAUCGCGAUAAGAAUUACCGCUCGCUCCAUGCUCCAUGCGAAGCGGGCGAGAUGAAAAGCUUUUGUAGCUUUUGCCCCUGGCCAAAACGAAAUAUUGGCUAAACGCUGAUGCCGUCUACAAGUAUGUGUAACUGUAAGUGAUUACUUUACAUGGCCAACAACAACAACAACAACAAGAGCAACAAGAAAAACAAACAUUGUUCACAAUGGAGCGCCGCCUGCUCAUGGCCAGCAAUACCAAUAGCGAAAAAUUGUGAACGACACGACGAGAGACGCGAACUUGACACUCGCAAAAUGGAUUCGUGGCUGUGUGUACUAUAAGUACUAUAGUGUUAUAUCUUGAUGCCCACAUCUAAUCUAAAUUCAUAAGUCGACCUGAGCAACAAUGGCAGCAUUCACCGCGAAACGUGUGAGUGCGUGAGUGAUUGCCGUUAUGUGGCUAGCCGAAGCUGAAGUCGAACAGCGAACAACAUUAACGUGGGAUCAUAUCAAACUGACAUAUUCCCUAUCAUUGUGACCAUCUUGAUUUAUGCCCUUCAAAGUGGCGAGCUUGUCGUGCCAAUGGUUCUCUCUUCUCUCUUCGAAAAGGGAUCAUUAGUGCAGAUAGUUUAUCCGCCUCACUUAUCAAGGUCAGC
Molecule: long non-coding RNA, 1248 nt
Organism: Drosophila nasuta
Lineage: Eukaryota; Metazoa; Arthropoda; Insecta; Diptera; Drosophilidae
Exons: 3
Source: RefSeq, a predicted model, not a curated record